AUACGUAGGUGACAAGCGUUAUCCGGAUUUACUGGGCGUAAAGGGCGUGUAGGCGGUCUUGCAGGUCAGAAGUGAAAUUCCUGAGCUCAACUCGGGCGCUGCUUCUGAAACUGCAGGACUUGAGUGCUGGAGGGGAUAGCGGAAUUCCUAGUGGAGCGGUAAAAUGCGCAGAUAUUAGGAAGAACACCGGUGGCGAAGGCGGCUAUCUGGACAGUAACUGACGCUGAGGCGCGAAAGCGUGGGGAGCAAACAGGAUUAGAUACCCUGGUAGUCCACGCCGUAAGCGAUGAAUACUAGGUGUAGGGGGUAUCGACUCCCUCUGUGCCGCAGUUAACACAAUAAGUAUUCCGCCUGGGGAGUACGGCCGCAAGGUUGAAACUCAAAUGAAUUGACGGGG
Molecule: ribosomal RNA, 397 nt
Filed under: uncultured bacterium
Lineage: Bacteria
Description: partial 16S ribosomal RNA
Rfam family: Bacterial small subunit ribosomal RNA
Source: RNAcentral